UACACCCAUAUGAAGGAACGAGGGUUGC
This 28-nucleotide non-coding RNA is filed under the name Mus musculus (house mouse). The record is from RNAcentral. Lineage: Eukaryota; Metazoa; Chordata; Mammalia; Rodentia; Muridae.